CACGGACCGCACGAACGUUAUUCGGUAUCACUGGGCUUAAAGGGUGCGUAGGCGGCUUUGCAAGUUGGGUGUGAAAGCCCUCGGCUCAACCGAGGAAUUGCGCUCAAUACUGCCGAGCUCGAGAGAGACAGAGGUAAGCGGAACUAAUGGUGGAGCGGUGAAAUGCGUUGAUAUCAUUAGGAACACCGGUGGCGAAGGCGGCUUAC
This 206-nucleotide ribosomal RNA is filed under the name uncultured bacterium. RNAcentral describes it as "partial 16S ribosomal RNA". It matches the Rfam family "Bacterial small subunit ribosomal RNA", at positions 524 to 729 of the family's 1533-position model. The record is from RNAcentral.